This 414-nucleotide ribosomal RNA is filed under the name uncultured bacterium. RNAcentral's name for it is "partial 16S ribosomal RNA". It matches the Rfam family "Bacterial small subunit ribosomal RNA", at positions 364 to 775 of the family's 1533-position model. The record is from RNAcentral.
UUGGUCAAUGGACGCGAGUCUGAACCAGCCAAGUAGCGUGAAGGAUGACUGCCCUAUGGGUUNUAAACUUCUUUUAUAUGGGAAUNNCGNNNUNCACGUGUGGAAUUUUGUAUGUACCAUAUGAAUAAGGNNNGNCNAACUCCGUGCCAGCAGCCGCGGUAAUACGGAGGAUCCGAGCGUUAUCCGGAUUUAUUGGGUUUAAAGGGAGCGUAGGUGGACAGUGAAGUCAGUUGUGAAAGUUUGCGGCUCAACCGUACAAUUGCAGUUGAUACUGGCUGUCUUGAGUACAGUAGAAGUGGGCGGAAUUCGUGGUGUAGCGGUGAAAUGCUUAGAUAUCACGAAGAACUCCAAUUGCGAAGGCAGCUCACUGGACUGCAGCUGACACUGAUGCUCGAAAGUGUGGGUAUCAAACAG